RNAcentral lists this ribosomal RNA (252 nucleotides) under uncultured bacterium. RNAcentral's name for it is "partial 16S ribosomal RNA". It matches the Rfam family "Bacterial small subunit ribosomal RNA", at positions 525 to 776 of the family's 1533-position model. The record is from RNAcentral.
ACGAACCGGACGAACGUUAUUCGGAAUUACUGGGCUUAAAGAGUGCGUAGGCGGCCAAGUAGGUGGGGUGUGAAAGCCCACGGCUCAACCGUGGAAUUGCGCUUCAAACCACUUGGCUUGAGGGAGACAGGGGUAAGCGGAACUGAUGGUGGAGCGGUGAAAUGCGUUGAUAUCAUCAGGAACACCAGUGGCGAAGGCGGCUUACUGGGUCUCUACUGACGCUGAGGCACGAAAGCUAGGGUAGCGAACAGG